CCCCGAUAAGACAAUGGAUCCCUGGGAUCCGAUGUAGAACACUUUGGGAUAGGUGUGAUUAUCCCUUUACACCAUACAGACGGAAUUUUACAAAAUUUAAAACAUAUAUUAAAUAAUUUAUGCAAAACAUGUAAUAACAAAUUAUUUUUAAACAAUUCUACAGGUAUUAAAUCGAUCCCUGGCGCCUUGCCAUUUUUAGCUUGCGUUAAUACUUUUAACACUUCAUCAGUACUAAUUUCCGAAUCUAAAUCAACAUCCAAAAUAUCAUUUGACAUAUUAUCAUUUACAUUCGUAACAUCAUCACAAUUCAAAAGAUUUUCAUAAGAAGUUUUCCAUUUAUUUAAAAUAAUGUCAGUGUGCGAGCAAAUUGAACCAUCUUCUAGUACAACUUCCAUAGGUUUGGUCUUCUGUCUUUCACUACCGACACCAAUCUUGCCAAUGUUCUUCCAAAACUCCCGGGGGUCCCUAGUUUCAAUAUCCAAAAGUUUAUCUUGACUUCGGUACCAAUAUUGCCUCUUUGUCUGUUGACAAUUUUUAUCAAAAAUUUACGUUUGUUUACAAAAAUAUGACGCAAGUUCUUUUUAACCUGGUUAUGGCUUCUGUUCCAAUUACGUUCGGCUUCGCAUACUUCAUUCCAGAGUGCAGUGAGA
RNAcentral lists this long non-coding RNA (650 nucleotides) under Mytilus galloprovincialis (Mediterranean mussel). Lineage: Eukaryota; Metazoa; Mollusca; Bivalvia; Mytilida; Mytilidae. The record is from RNAcentral.